GGAAAAUUUCACCACUUUGUCGUUAUUAAGCGCGCCAAAACAUCCCAAAAAAUUCAGAGCGAAAGCCAGUGCAAAAAAAUUAGGGAUUACAAUGGCUGACCUAGCUUCAAUGGCUGUUUUCAAAUCCCAAAUCAGUACUUUAACAAUGGUGAAAUUUAAACUUCCUCCAAAAUUCUGGCGAUUUUCUAAUUCAAAAAGGUACAUCAGUGUAGUAAUUUUCGCGGAAUUUCUCAAAUCAUUAACGGUCCCAUACAUCUCUAUUUGGUGCCACAGAUUGUAAAGGAACUGUUGCUGCAGAUGUGUUUCAGAUUUGGCUAUCAUAAGAUAUUCUGAUUUCUCAAAUUAAGG
This is a long non-coding RNA of Chenopodium quinoa (quinoa), 348 nucleotides long. RefSeq lists it as uncharacterized. The record is from RefSeq and is a predicted model, not a curated record. The transcript has 2 exons. NCBI's taxonomy places the organism in Eukaryota, Viridiplantae, Streptophyta, Magnoliopsida, Caryophyllales, Amaranthaceae.